Non-coding RNA from Helianthus annuus (common sunflower), 71 nucleotides. The record is from Rfam. NCBI's taxonomy places the organism in Eukaryota, Viridiplantae, Streptophyta, Magnoliopsida, Asterales, Asteraceae.
UUAUUAUCGAGUUGAAUACCUGCAUCUGUGUGGGUAUUGUGAUUCUGACUCUGAAUAGGAAGAUCUGAUGC